This is a long non-coding RNA of Carassius carassius (crucian carp), 576 nucleotides long. RefSeq lists it as uncharacterized. Lineage: Eukaryota; Metazoa; Chordata; Actinopteri; Cypriniformes; Cyprinidae. The record is from RefSeq and is a predicted model, not a curated record. The transcript has 3 exons.
UACUCAGGUGUCAAUCAAGUUGCCGAACCGUGCCGAAGUUGUACGAAAGAAUGACAUCAUCCUCAGGGGGCGUGUCAGAGGUAAAAAAGGUUAAUUACUGAAGUUCGUGACCUAUGACCAGGGUCAUUGUCGCGUAGUUCGACAUAAAAAGUGGUACGAGAUUUAUCAAAGGAUAGAGAAAUGUCAGAUGCUGUUUCGUGGCCAAACAACCUUGCUUGGAGCCUCUACUGGACCCGCACAAAGGGUGGUGGAAGAACCUCAUGCUGCUGAAACAGCAAAGAAGGCCAUGGAGCAGAGUCAGCCUGACCCCCAGCCUCUGCCCCUGCCCCUAGUCUACUGCACCUGUGGAAGCAAGAGUUGCAACACAAUUUUCAAUGGUAAGAAUUACUAUUUAACUUUUUUAAUAAUACCACUUAAGUAUGAGCUCAAUUAAAAUUCAAGAAAGUUCAGAACGUAAGAAGAAGAAAAAAAGAAAAAGCAAGAAUGCUAUGAGAUGCUGGCUGACCUACUAAUUGUCACCCCUCUUGUACAGUGGGGGCACCUGUUGUCUGCUGAAUGGUCAGUUUGAAUAUCUCA